UUCCCCGCGCCGCGCGUCCUAAAAUAUACCAUACCAGGAGAGCCGCCGCCGCCGCCUCUUCCUCUUCGAUCCCCCAAUCCCCACUUCCCCGUCUCCUUCACCCCUCCCCCCCAAAAUCCUCCUAAAUUGCCAGUCUGCGCACCUGCCGGCGGAACCCUAGCUCUGGAGCGACUGCCAGAUCAGGACGGCUGAAUCGGCGGCUCCUUCCCUGGCGCCGCGCUUCGGAGGCUUGCGCCGCUCGGCGCGUCCCCCGCCCGCAUCUUUCCUCCGUCUACACCUUCAGGAUUCGCGCCGCUCCCCCCCGAGGGCUUUGGAGGUGGAGGCUUGCUGUUGCUGCCCUCCUCUUCACCGCCGUGCCUGUGCGUGCACAUGAGUCUGAUAUGCUUGGUCAAGUUUAGUGCAGCCGCCCCCUGUUAAUACCAUUUUCUCUGAUGCACGGUGGUCGGCCGGUAGUCACCUCUACCUUCUGCCGCAGUGUAUCCAGGCAUCGAGCACUCUAUGGAAGCAUCCAAUCUCGCCGCUCUGCCAACUUCGCCUGAACGCUGACUGCCAAUGCUCCAUAUACCGUCAUAUAAUCUUGCCAUUCUACCUACUUCGCUGGAACACCGACCGCCGCUCCAUCUGAGUUACAAAUUAAAUUCAACAUGUCAGUUGAGGAAGCUGCUGAGUUAGCAUGGCAGGCUAUUUAUCAUGCAACAUUCCUUAACGGAGCUAGUGAUGAUACAAGAAGAUUUAUGAUCUUGUUAAGGAGCAUGUUGAGAGGUCUGAAGGAGGAGGGGCAGGGUUGGAAGCAAUGAAUGUAAUAUAAAUACUUGCACUGCACUAUAUGAUUUUUCAUGUGCAAAAUAGAAUCACCCUGAGUGUAGCUUUUGAUUUACUCAGGUCGAGAUGGGCAGCUGCAAAUUCACUGGUUCACUGACCUAAAUUAUUUCUAUCUUCACUAUUUAUUGGUUUACUGAACUAAAUCUUUCUACUCAGGUUCAUUUGUGUAUCACCUUUGUUUUGAAAAAAAAAAAAUGCAAGCUUUAUCAUGUUUGUCAUUAAUAGAUCAAUGAAGCAACAAAAUAUUGGUUGGACCAAUUCCCGAUAGCCGUCUUCUUUAACCUGCUUCAGAAUCAGAAUCAGGAAAGACUGGGCUGGAGAAUCAGGAAGGUCCAUGAUAUUUAAGUAGGCAAGAAUCCCAUUGUAUUCUUCCCUGGAAAGUCACUAUCCCUGUGACAAAUAGUAUGCCUUGCGUUUUUUUUUCUGAACAUCUAUCUCCAGAUAAAGCUUUUUUUCUGAACUGGCUUCGACGAGGUGGAACUCAAGGGCUAUACGGCAGUCAUCCACGUCAGUGUGUACCAGACAAUCGAAGUAUGCCAAUACUGGAACGGGAGAUUGGAGCAAAACUAUCAGAAAUCAGGUUGGAUUACCCACCCCUUAACAAAGAAGUCAUACAGGAUGUAAGAAAUCUAUGGGAGGAUCCAUCCAUCCAGGAAACUUACUUGUGGAAGUGUGCUGCAAGUUCCUGACUGUGCAGAGUACUUCAUGGAGAAUCCGGACCGAUUAGCUGAAGCAGAUUACGUACCAACAAAGGAGCACAUGAGGCGAGGGAGGGCAUGGCCGAACUGGAGGUUGUUUCAUGGCGAGGGCAAGCUAGGGCAGAGACAUGCAACGACGAGAGUUGCAACCGUCAGGGGACAUCAUCACCUUAUAAAAUGCCCACUCACAAUGGCUAGAUGCUGCUCUUUUCCUCUCCAUUGUCAUUGACGCAAUUACAGUUGCAGAUUUAAGCCUCUUUGAUCCUCUCCUGUAAUCUGGCAAUGAUAUCAGCACAUAAAUUCAUUCAGUUCUUCCAGCGUGCAUAGCAUUCAACUCUCUGUGCAGGUUGUUCACCAGUGAUCUAGUUUGCUAAAAGGCAUAUUAUUUGUUUCAGACCUGGAAUUGCUUAUGUGCUGGCAAAACAUGAUAAGCAGGAAUUGAACCUCACCCAUUCAUCAACGAAUUUAUUCCAUCUGUCAAAGGGAUGAUGACAUCUAUGCCUAUUGUUUCCUGAUAAAAAAUCUUCGAGGUACGCCUCACAGGGCACUGAUUCAAGGUACACCCAACGUCAUCUAUGAUCAGAGGAAAAAUUUCUGUAUGGACUCCAUGAAACCGAGGUGGUAUGUAACUACUAUAUAUCAUAGGCUUCUAUGUUCGACAAGCUUUGGUAAUGAUAUGAGAUGGUCACUUUCAUUGAGUUUGUUCAGAAGGGGUGUGGAUCUAUUAUGUUUAAUUUUGCCCCAUGACGUAUUCUUGCAAAUCCCAGGAACUGAUCAGAUUAAUAGAGAAGUAUGAUGUCCAGUUGUAUGGAAAUAUUUCAUACAUUCAGGACUACAGUCAUGGGAAGAUUGUUUCUAGAGGAUCAAUGAAGAUUUAAUGAACUUUGCAUAAUUUUUAUUGUCUAGCAUUUGACCUUUGUUAUGUUGCAACCUACAGUAUGGACAGGAUACUGAAAGUAGUUUCUCGGAUAUUUAAACAAAUGACGAUGACAUAAAUUCUUUUGAUGCUUUCUCUAGGAAGGUAGGUAUAUUUGAACAAAUCAUCAGCAAAGCAUCUGCCCUCCCAUCCAGUCCGACUGAAGAGAUGAAACAAAGGGAAAAACUCUUCAGGAGGUGGUAUAUUUCAUCAUUUUAGCAGCAUUAGAGGCAGGACAUGUAUAAGAAGACAUAAGAAGCAGCUAAUUGCAAGCACUUCUAUUCUAUGGGAUUUGUAGAGACACUACACGCAGAAAACUAAAUCGAAUAUGUGGACAACAACUAAGAGUCAAAUACGUCAAUUUAGAACGGAAUACAUGGAUGCAUUUUGUACUAUUUACUUUAUUAUCUUGGUUAUUCACAUCAAUGUAUUCAUUUUCUAAGCUUACUGCAGUAUAUUCAGAACAAGGGAAAGAGCAGAUUACCGCAGUGUAUUCAGGAGAAGGAAAACGGCAGUUGUCCAACUUUUCUCCAGGUUAUCUAUGCCUAAUGCUUUGAGCAAAAGGAAUUGGUACUCACUUUGGCAAACAGAGAGAAAGGAAUAUGUUUUUUUGUUGCUAUUGGAGCUCCAUCACUCACUGUCAAGUAUUGCGAGCAAGCAACUGAAGCAAGUACAGUGGCCAAUAAUGCAUAUAUGAAGAUUGAUUUACAACAACAGCUCCAACAUUUGUACAUAAUCUUUCAUAUUGUGUCUCUUUUCGAAUCCCUGUUAGUGUGUUUAUAUACAUUAAUAUUCAUGCGAGUCAAACGAGAUUACUUAUGUCAUAUCAAGAUGUGUCCAUUGCAGUUUUCUCA
This is a long non-coding RNA of Aegilops tauschii subsp. strangulata, 3290 nucleotides long. RefSeq lists it as uncharacterized. The record is from RefSeq and is a predicted model, not a curated record. NCBI's taxonomy places the organism in Eukaryota, Viridiplantae, Streptophyta, Magnoliopsida, Poales, Poaceae.